This 5769-nucleotide long non-coding RNA is filed under the name Homo sapiens (human). RNAcentral describes it as "HSALNT0341549". Lineage: Eukaryota; Metazoa; Chordata; Mammalia; Primates; Hominidae. The record is from RNAcentral.
GGGUGAUAGAGUGAGACUCUGUCUCAAAAGACAAACAAACGAACAAAAAAACAGACGGCACGCUUGACACAGCAGCUAUGAGUUGGACCAUGCACUUGCCUAAAUGUAUGGUGGUCCCCUGUCCCCUACCACAGUCCAUCUUUUUUUAUUUUUUGAGACGGAGCCUCGCUCUGUCGCCAGGCUGGAGUGCAGUGGUGCGAUCUCGGCUCACUGCAACCUCCGCCUCCCGGGUUCAAGCUAUUCUCCUGCCUCAGCCUCCCAAGUAGCUGAGACUACAGUGCGUUCCACCACGCCCAGCUAAUUUUUGUAUUUUCAGUAGAAAUGGGGUUUUACUAUGUUGGCCAGGAUGGUCUCCAUCUCUUGACCUCGUGAUGUGCCUGCCUUGCCCUCCCAAAAUGCUGGGAUUACAGGUGUGAGCCACUAUGCCUGGCCAAUCCAUCAGUUUUUUUAGGAGCCAAACAGGUGAACUCAAUGGGGAGCUACCCAUUGGAUAGGAAUCACCACCCCUCUGAAUCUUUUACAUCUUUGAAGGUGGCACUAGCAUCUACAAUUCCAUGUGGCAAACAGUGUGUGUUCUGAUUGAAUACUGGCUGGGUCGAGACAGGGUAAGGGGACCGAUGUGAAUGGCUAAGUUUAUCUAUCCCAAAUGUGUCCUUGGGUGGCAGGGAACUUACUACCAGGCGGGUCCAUAGACACAUUUAUUUUUACUUUUAUAUUUACAUUUAAUUUAAUUUUUUUUUUUUCAGAGACAGGGUCUCACUCUGCUGUCCUGGCUGGAGUGCAGUGGUGCAAUCAUGGCUCACUGCAGCCUCGAACUCCUGGGCUUAAGCCAUCCACCUGCCUCAGUCUCCUAAGUAGCUGGCACCACAGGUGCACACCAUCACGCCGAGCUAAUUUUUAAAUUUUUUUGUAGAGAAAGGGUCCCACUAUUUGCCCAGGCUGGUCUCGAACUCUCAAGUGAUUCUCCCACCUUUGUCUUCCAAAGUGCUGGAAGACUGGGUCCGCCGCAGAGAAUACAUUUCAUAGCCCGGCAGACUGGUGGUUUCAGUGCCUUCAUGAAUUUUACUCCCUGUAGUAAGAGGCUUUCCAUGAGCAGUCUUGUGGUCACCACAUUUUAUUAGUGGGUUUUCCCCAGUCACCUUCCAUAAAACAGGCCUGCACAGGCUGGGGGCGGUGGCUUAUGCCUGUAAUCCCAGCACUUUGGGAGGCCGAGGUGGGCAGAUCACCUGAGUUCAGGUGUUCAAGACCAGCCAGGCCAAGAUGGUGAAACCACAUCUCUACUAAAAAUUCCAAAAUUAGCCAGGCGUGGUAGCAGGCACCUGUAGUCCCAGCUAAUCAGAAGGCUGAGGCAGGGGAAUUGCUUGAACCUGGGAGGUGGAGGUUGCAGUGAGCCAAGAUUGCACCACUGCACUCCAGCCUGGGCAGCAGAGUGAGACUGUCUCACAAAAAAAAAAAAAAGAAGUGUCAGGUGCUGGCAGAGACACUGCUUUUCCCUAAUUGACCUGUUUGGUCCUCACAUUAACCAUAUUUUACAGCUACUCUCAUUUACAGAUAAGGAAACUGGGCCAAUGAGGAGGUGAGAAAUCGCUCAAGGCUGCCAGGUACAGUGGCUCAUCCCUGUAAUCCCAGCACUUUGGGAGGCCAAGGGAGGAGGAUUAAUUGAGGCCAGGAGUUUGAGACCAGCCUAGGCAACAUAAUGAGACUCUGUCUCUACAAAAAAUUUAAAAAUUAGUGGGGUGUGGUGAUGCAUGUGUAGUCCCAGCUACUCCGGAGGCUGAGGUGGGAGGAUCGCUUGAUCCCAGGUGUCUGAGACAGUAGUGAGCUACGAUUGCACCACUGCACUACAACCUCGGUGAUGCAAUGAGACGCUGUCUCAAAAAAAAAAAACCACACACACACAAAACAACAAAAAAACAAAUUGUUCAAGGCGAGCCUGGUGUGCCAAGCCCUUGUUCUGGGCACUUGGCUUAUAUUAUCUCCCUUAAUCCUUCCCACCACCCCAAGUGCUAGAUACUGGGAUUAAUUUAGUUGAGCUGUAAUACAUCAAUACUGUGUGAAAUGCUAUGCAACAUCUAAAAGGAAGACAGGUGGAGCUUUUAUUUAUUUUUUAUUUUAUUUAUUUUUUGAGACGCAGUCUCGCUGCAUUACCCAACCUGGAGUGCAGUGGCACAAUCACAGCUCACUGUAGCCUCAACCUCCUGGGUUCAAACAAUCCUCCCACCUCAGCCUCUCAAGUAGCUGGGACUACAGGCUUACACCACCAAGCUUGGCUAAUUUUUUUUUUUUUUUUUUUUAGAGAUGGUGUUUUGCUAAGUUGUCCACACUGAUCUCAAAAUCCUUUUGUUUUUGCUUUGGAAUGGUCUGGAACUCCUGAGCUCAAGUGAUCCUCCCACCUUGGCCUCCCAAAGGCCUGGGAUUACACGUAUGAGCCACCGCACCAAGCCCAUGUUGAGCUUUUAAGGUAUUAAAGAUCCACUAGGUGAAAAAAAAGAGUGAAAGAUACAUAUGCCAUUUAAGGGAAGCACAGGAAAACUCCUAUUUUGUUUAUAUGUGAAUAGAGGCACAUAGAUGCCUAGAAAAGUGUCUGGGAGGGAAUGAAACCAGAUUGGCCACAAAAAUCACCUCUGGAAAAAGGAAAAGAAUGGGGACUUUCACUUUUUGCUUCAUAUGUUUCAUGUACCUUUUUUUUUUUUUUUUUGAGAUGGAGUUUCACUCUUAUUGCCCAGGCUGGGGUGCAGUGGUGCGAUCUCAGCUCACUGCAACCUCUGCCUCCUAGGUUCAAGCGAUUCUCCUGCCUCAGCCUCCCAAGUAGCUGGGAUUACAGGCAUGCGCCACCACGCCCGGCUAAUUUUUUGUGUUUUUAGUAGAGACGAGGUUUCUCCAUGUUGGUCAGGCUGGUCUCGAACUCCUGACAUCAGGUGAUCUACCCACUUUGGCCUCCCAAAGUGCUGGGAUUACAGGCGUGAGCCACCGCGCCCAGCUGCUUUUUCUUUUUAAAAAGUAAAAUAUAACAGAGAAAACUGCACAAAACAGAAGUGUUCAAAUUAAAUUUUUUUUUUUUUGAGACAGGGUCUUGCCCUGUUGCCCAGGCUGGAGUGCAGUGGCUCAUUCAUAGCUCACUGCAGCCUCAAACUCCUGGGUUCAAGCGAUCCUCCCACCCCAGCCUCCUGAGUGGCUGGAAGGCCAAGGGAGGAUCGCUUGAGCCCAGGAGUUUGAGGCUGUGCCACCACACGCAGCUGGUUUUUUUUUUUUUUUUUAAUUUUUUGUAGAGACAGGGUCUCGCUAUGUCACCCACGCUGGUCUCAAACUCACGGGCUCAAGCAAUCCUCCCAUCUUUGGCCUCCCAAAGUACUGAGACUACAAACAUGAGCCAUCUUGCCCAGCCCCUAGAACGUGUUAUCAAAUAAACACCGAUGCAACCCUCACUCAGCUGAGAAGUAAAACAUUGCCAGCCAAUCCCUAAAUGCUUCUGCUUGCCGCUUCCCAAUCCUAACCAAUGCCUUCUCCUGACAAUUAUGAUGGUCAUGUCUUUGCAUUUCUCUAAUGUUUCCCAUCACGAUCAAACUAGUUUUGUUUUGCCUGUGUCCAAACUUUGCAUAAAUGAGCAGCAUGUGUCUGGUGGACCUGGCUUCUUCCACUCAACAUUAUGAUAAGAAGAUUGACCAUUUGGUGCCCAUAGCUAUUGCUCUUGCAUUUUCAUUGCUCUAUAGAUUCUUACUCAACAUACCUUAAAAAUUUUUUUAUUCUGAAAUAAGAGCGGGAUGCUAUUAAAAAAAGAAAAAAGAAGAGAACAAAAAAGUCCUCCAGUAAAUUUAAAAUAUGGUAGUCAAGGCCGGGCACGGUGGCUCACACCUGUAAUCCCAGCACUUUGGGAGGCUGAGGUGGGUGGAUCACCCGAGGUCAGGAGUUCGAGACCAGCCCGGCCAACAUGGCAAAACCCUGUCUCUACGAAAAAAAUACAUAAAUCAGCCAGGUGUGGUGGUGUGCACCCGUAAUCCCAGCUACUCGGGAGGCUGAGACAUGAGAAUUGCUUGAGCCCGGGAGGCAGAGGUUUCGGUGAGCUGAGAACUGCCACUGCACUCCAGCCUGGGUGACAGAAUGAGACUAUAAAAGAAAGAAAGAGAGAAAGAGAGAGAGAAAGGAAGGAGGGAAGGGAAGGGAGGGGAGGGGAGGGGAAGGGAGGGGAGGGGAGGGGAGAGAAGGGGAAGGGAAGGGAAGGAGAAGGGAAAGGGAAGGGAAGAAAAUUAGAGAUUAAUUCAGGAGAUUCAACAUCCGCCUAAUAGAAAUUCUAGAAAGAGGAAGUAGAGAAUAGAGAGGCCAGGUGCAGUGGCUCACACCUAUAAUCUCAGCACUUUGGGAGGCUGAAGUAGGAGGAUUGCUUAAGGCCAGGAGUUUGAGGCUGCAGUGAGCUAUGAUUGAGCCACUGUACUCCAGCCUGGAAAACAAAGCAAGACCUCGUCUCUAAAAGUAAUAAUAUGCCGGGACAGUGGCUCCCCACACUUUGGGAGGCUAAGGUGGGCGGAUCACUUGAGGUCAGGCUUUCGAGACCAGCCUGGCCAACAUGAUGAAACCCAAUCUCCACUAAAAAUAAAAAAAUUAGCCAGGUGUGGUGCUGCACACCUGUAACCCCAGCUACCUGGGAGGAGACAGGAGAAUCGCUUGAACCCGGGAGAUGGAGGUUGCAUGAGGUGAGAUCGCCUCAUUGCACUCCAGCCUGGGUGAUAGAAUGAGACUCUGUCUCAAAAUAAUAAUAAUAAUAAUAAAGUUAAAUAUAAAUAAAUAAAAGCAAAUGAAUAUAAUGAGUUUUAUUCAUUUGUUUUGCUGUUGUUAUUGUUUUGGAGACAGAGUUUUGUUCUUGUCGCCCAGGCUGGAGUACAAUGAUGCGAUCUGGUCUCACUGCAACCUUCGCUUCCUGGGUUCAAGCGAUUCUCCUGCCUUAGUCUCCUGAGUAGCUGGGAUUAGAGGCGUGUGACACCACGCCCGGGUAAUUUUUGUAUUUUUAGUAGAGACGGGGUUUCACCAUGUUGGCCAGGCUGGUCUCGAACUCCUGACCUCAGGUGAUCCACCAACCUGGGCCUCCCAAAGUGCUGGGAUUACAGGUAUGAGCUAUCAUGCCUGGCCUCAUUUCUUUUAAAAUCAGAAGGAAAAAAUAUAUAUAACUUUUAGGCCAAAAAUGUCUUCACAUAUAUUAAUAGAUUGAUCUUUUCCCAAUGCAACCAUAAAUAUCAUUUUUUAAAAUUAUUAUUAUUUUAGAAACAGGGUCUCACUCUGACGCCCAGGCUGAAGUGCAGUGGUAUGAUCUUAGCUCACUGUAGCCUCCAAUUCCUGGGCUCAAGCGAUCCUCCCACAUCAGCUUCUUGAAUGUGACCUCAGGCAGACGUCACCGUGCCCAGCUAAUUUUUAAUGUAAUUUUAUUUUUUUGGUAAAGAUGGGUUCUCAUUAUGUUGCCCAGGCCGGUCUUGAACUCCUGGCCUCAAGUGAUCCUCCUGCCUUGGCCUCCUAAGGUGCUGGUAUUAUAGGAUUGAGCCACCAAGCCCGGCCCGAAUAUAAUUUUUAAAUUUUUUUUUUUAAGACAGAGUUUCACUCUUGUUGCCUAGGCUGGAGUGCAGUGGCACGAUCUCGGCUGACCGCAACCUCCACCUCCCGGGUUCAAGCGAUUCUCCUGCCUCAGCCUCCUGAGUAGCUGGGAUUACAGGCAUGCACCACCACACCCAAAUAAUUUUCUAUUUUUAGUAGAGACAGGGUUUCUCCACAUUGGUCAGGCUGGUC